Molecule: ribosomal RNA, 3103 nt
Filed under: Escherichia coli
Lineage: Bacteria; Pseudomonadati; Pseudomonadota; Gammaproteobacteria; Enterobacterales; Enterobacteriaceae
Description: 23S ribosomal RNA
Rfam family: Bacterial large subunit ribosomal RNA
Source: RNAcentral
GGGUUGUGAGGUUAAGCGACUAAGCGUACACGGUGGAUGCCCUGGCAGUCAGAGGCGAUGAAGGACGUGCUAAUCUGCGAUAAGCGUCGGUAAGGUGAUAUGAACCGUUAUAACCGGCGAUUUCCGAAUGGGGAAACCCAGUGUGAUUCGUCACACUAUCAUUAACUGAAUCCAUAGGUUAAUGAGGCGAACCGGGGGAACUGAAACAUCUAAGUACCCCGAGGAAAAGAAAUCAACCGAGAUUCCCCCAGUAGCGGCGAGCGAACGGGGAGCAGCCCAGAGCCUGAAUCAGUGUGUGUGUUAGUGGAAGCGUCUGGAAAGGCGCGCGAUACAGGGUGACAGCCCCGUACACAAAAAUGCACAUGCUGUGAGCUCGAUGAGUAGGGCGGGACACGUGGUAUCCUGUCUGAAUAUGGGGGGACCAUCCUCCAAGGCUAAAUACUCCUGACUGACCGAUAGUGAACCAGUACCGUGAGGGAAAGGCGAAAAGAACCCCGGCGAGGGGAGUGAAAAAGAACCUGAAACCGUGUACGUACAAGCAGUGGGAGCACGCUUAGGCGUGUGACUGCGUACCUUUUGUAUAAUGGGUCAGCGACUUAUAUUCUGUAGCAAGGUUAACCGAAUAGGGGAGCCGAAGGGAAACCGAGUCUUAACUGGGCGUUAAGUUGCAGGGUAUAGACCCGAAACCCGGUGAUCUAGCCAUGGGCAGGUUGAAGGUUGGGUAACACUAACUGGAGGACCGAACCGACUAAUGUUGAAAAAUUAGCGGAUGACUUGUGGCUGGGGGUGAAAGGCCAAUCAAACCGGGAGAUAGCUGGUUCUCCCCGAAAGCUAUUUAGGUAGCGCCUCGUGAAUUCAUCUCCGGGGGUAGAGCACUGUUUCGGCAAGGGGGUCAUCCCGACUUACCAACCCGAUGCAAACUGCGAAUACCGGAGAAUGUUAUCACGGGAGACACACGGCGGGUGCUAACGUCCGUCGUGAAGAGGGAAACAACCCAGACCGCCAGCUAAGGUCCCAAAGUCAUGGUUAAGUGGGAAACGAUGUGGGAAGGCCCAGACAGCCAGGAUGUUGGCUUAGAAGCAGCCAUCAUUUAAAGAAAGCGUAAUAGCUCACUGGUCGAGUCGGCCUGCGCGGAAGAUGUAACGGGGCUAAACCAUGCACCGAAGCUGCGGCAGCGACGCUGAUGCGUUGUUGGGUAGGGGAGCGUUCUGUAAGCCUGUGAAGGUGUACUGUGAGGUAUGCUGGAGGUAUCAGAAGUGCGAAUGCUGACAUAAGUAACGAUAAAGCGGGUGAAAAGCCCGCUCGCCGGAAGACCAAGGGUUCCUGUCCAACGUUAAUCGGGGCAGGGUGAGUCGACCCCUAAGGCGAGGCCGAAAGGCGUAGUCGAUGGGAAACAGGUUAAUAUUCCUGUACUUGGUGUUACUGCGAAGGGGGGACGGAGAAGGCUAUGUUGGCCGGGCGACGGUUGUCCCGGUUUAAGCGUGUAGGCUGGUUUUCCAGGCAAAUCCGGAAAAUCAAGGCUGAGGCGUGAUGACGAGGCACUACGGUGCUGAAGCAACAAAUGCCCUGCUUCCAGGAAAAGCCUCUAAGCAUCAGGUAACAUCAAAUCGUACCCCAAACCGACACAGGUGGUCAGGUAGAGAAUACCAAGGCGCUUGAGAGAACUCGGGUGAAGGAACUAGGCAAAAUGGUGCCGUAACUUCGGGAGAAGGCACGCUGAUAUGUAGGUGAAGUCCCUCGCGGAUGGAGCUGAAAUCAGUCGAAGAUACCAGCUGGCUGCAACUGUUUAUUAAAAACACAGCACUGUGCAAACACGAAAGUGGACGUAUACGGUGUGACGCCUGCCCGGUGCCGGAAGGUUAAUUGAUGGGGUUAGCGCAAGCGAAGCUCUUGAUCGAAGCCCCGGUAAACGGCGGCCGUAACUAUAACGGUCCUAAGGUAGCGAAAUUCCUUGUCGGGUAAGUUCCGACCUGCACGAAUGGCGUAAUGAUGGCCAGGCUGUCUCCACCCGAGACUCAGUGAAAUUGAACUCGCUGUGAAGAUGCNAGCGCAAGCGAAGCUCUUGAUCGAAGCCCCGGUAAACGGCGGCCGUAACUAUAACGGUCCUAAGGUAGCGAAAUUCCUUGUCGGGUAAGUUCCGACCUGCACGAAUGGCGUAAUGAUGGCCAGGCUGUCUCCACCCGAGACUCAGUGAAAUUGAACUCGCUGUGAAGAUGCAGUGUACCCGCGGCAAGACGGAAAGACCCCGUGAACCUUUACUAUAGCUUGACACUGAACAUUGAGCCUUGAUGUGUAGGAUAGGUGGGAGGCUUUGAAGUGUGGACGCCAGUCUGCAUGGAGCCGACCUUGAAAUACCACCCUUUAAUGUUUGAUGUUCUAACGUUGACCCGUAAUCCGGGUUGCGGACAGUGUCUGGUGGGUAGUUUGACUGGGGCGGUCUCCUCCUAAAGAGUAACGGAGGAGCACGAAGGUUGGCUAAUCCUGGUCGGACAUCAGGAGGUUAGUGCAAUGGCAUAAGCCAGCUUGACUGCGAGCGUGACGGCGCGAGCAGGUGCGAAAGCAGGUCAUAGUGAUCCGGUGGUUCUGAAUGGAAGGGCCAUCGCUCAACGGAUAAAAGGUACUCCGGGGAUAACAGGCUGAUACCGCCCAAGAGUUCAUAUCGACGGCGGUGUUUGGCACCUCGAUGUCGGCUCAUCACAUCCUGGGGCUGAAGUAGGUCCCAAGGGUAUGGCUGUUCGCCAUUUAAAGUGGUACGCGAGCUGGGUUUAGAACGUCGUGAGACAGUUCGGUCCCUAUCUGCCGUGGGCGCUGGAGAACUGAGGGGGGCUGCUCCUAGUACGAGAGGACCGGAGUGGACGCAUCACUGGUGUUCGGGUUGUCAUGCCAAUGGCACUGCCCGGUAGCUAAAUGCGGAAGAGAUAAGUGCUGAAAGCAUCUAAGCACGAAACUUGCCCCGAGAUGAGUUCUCCCUGACUCCUUGAGAGUCCUGAAGGAACGUUGAAGACGACGACGUUGAUAGGCCGGGUGUGUAAGCGCAGCGAUGCGUUGAGCUAACCGGUACUAAUGAACCGUGAGGCUUAACCUUACAACGCCGAAGGUGUUU